RNAcentral lists this ribosomal RNA (253 nucleotides) under uncultured bacterium. RNAcentral describes it as "partial 16S ribosomal RNA". It matches the Rfam family "Bacterial small subunit ribosomal RNA", at positions 524 to 776 of the family's 1533-position model. The record is from RNAcentral.
UACGGAGGGGGCGAGCGUUGUCCGAAGUUACUGGGCGUAAAGGGCGCGUAGGCGGGGUGUCACGUCCGCUGUGAAAGCCUGGAGCUUAACUCCAGCGGGUCGGUGGAUACGGACACUCUUGAAGGCAUUAGGGGAAGAUGGAAUUACCCAUGGAGCGGUGAAAUGCGUAGAUAUUGGGAGGAACACCAGUGGCGAAAGCGGCUACCUGGACCGGAACUGACGCUGAUGCGCGAAAGCGUGGGUAGCAAACAGG